This 497-nucleotide ribosomal RNA is filed under the name uncultured bacterium. RNAcentral's name for it is "partial 16S ribosomal RNA". It matches the Rfam family "Bacterial small subunit ribosomal RNA", at positions 28 to 507 of the family's 1533-position model. The record is from RNAcentral.
GAUGAACGCUGGCGGCGUGCCUAAUACAUGCAAGUCGAGCGAACGGACGAGAAGCUUGCUUCUCUGAUGUUAGCGGCGGACGGGUGAGUAACACGUGGAUAACCUACCUAUAAGACUGGGAUAACUUCGGGAAACCGUAGCUAAUACCGGAUAAUAUUUUGAACCGCAUGGUUCAAAAGUGAAAGACGGUCUUGCUGUCACUUAUAGAUGGAUCCGCGCUGCAUUAGCUAGUUGGUAAGGUAACGGCUUACCAAGGCAACGAUGCAUAGCCGACCUGAGAGGGGUGUCGGGCACCCUGGAACCGAGACACGGGUCAAACUCCCACCGGGAGCAACAGUAGGGAAUCUUCCGGCAUGGGGGAAAGCCUGGCGGAGCAACCCCGCGUGAGUGAUGAAGGUUUUCCGAUCGUAAAACCCUGUUAAUAGGGAAGAAAAUAUGUGUAAGUAACUGGGCACAUCUUGACGGUACCUAAUCAGAAAGCCACGGCUAACUACGUG